CGGAUUUUUGGCUGGAAUUCCACCACUAUUUUUUUAAAUUUUUGGGGUAUUUUUGGGUGGAAUUUCACCAUUUUUUUUUUAAUUUUUUGGGGUAUUUUUGGGUGGAAUUUCACUUUUUUUUUUUAAAUUUUUGGGGUAUUUUUGGGCGGAAUUCCACCCUUUUAUUUUAAAUUUUUGGGGUAUUUUUGGGUAGAAUUCCNUCGUUAAUUAGGGGUGAGUCGUUAAUUAGGGGUGACUCGUUAAUUAAGGAUGAGGAGCAAGGCUGGAAAAAUGGGAACGGGAAAUUCCACGGGAAUAGGGAGGGAGGAGGAGGAGGAAGAGAAAGGAGAGAAGGUUCUGGAAGGAACACAAAAGACUGGAAGGGCACAGAAGGUUCUAGAAAGGACAGAAGGGGCUGGAAAGGACAGAAGGACACAGAAGUUUCUGGAAGGACAGAAGGACACAGAAGGUUCUGGAAGGACAGAAGGAACAGAAGGGACUGGAAGGCCAUGGAAGGUUCUGGAGGGUUCUGGAAGGGACAAAAAGGAUGGAAGGGACGGAUGGCCACAGAAGGUUCCAGAAGGGGACAGAAAGGACAGAAAGCCACAGAAGGUUCUGGAAGGGACAGAAGAGCAUGGAAGGUUCUGGAAGGUUCCGGAAGGGGACAGAAGGUUUUGGAGGGGUCUGGGAGGGAUAAAACGCUCUGGAAGGGACACAAGGCCAUGGAAUGUUCUGGAAGGGGACAGAAGGACACAGGAGGGGCACAGAAGGUUCUGGAAUGGACAGAAGGCCAUAGAAGGCUCUGGAAAGGGACAGAAGGUUCAGGAAGGGAUAGAAUAGACAGAAGGGCACGGAAUGUUCCGGAAGGGGACAGAAGGACACAGAAGGCCAUGGAAGGUUCCAGAAAGGGACAGGACAGAAGGGACAGAAGGGGACAGAAGGUUCUGGAAUGGACAGAAGGCCACAGAAGGUUCCAGAAGGGCACAGAAGGACACAGGAGGGGCACAGAAGGUUCUGGAAGGGGACAGAAGGACACAGAAGGUUCCAGAAGGAACAGAAGGGACAAAAGGCCACAGAAGGCUCUGGAAGGGACAGGAGGGACAGAAUGUUCCAGAAGGGCACAGAAGGACACAGAAGGGGCACAGAAGGGGCACAGAAGGACACAGAAGGUUCCAGAAUAGGACAGAAAGACACAGAAGGUUCCGGAAGGGGACAGAGGGACACAGGAGGGGCACAGAAGGUUCAGGAAGGGACAGAAGGACACAGAACCCCCCGGAAGGUUCUGGAAGGGCACAGAAGGACACAGAACCCCCCGGAAGGUUCCAGAAGGACACAGAACCCCACAGAACCCCUGGAAGGUUCCGGAAGCGCACAGACGGACACAGAACCCCACAGAACCCGUGGAAGGUUCCGGAAGG
This 1397-nucleotide long non-coding RNA is filed under the name Zonotrichia albicollis (white-throated sparrow). Its description in RNAcentral is "lncRNA (ENSZALG00000000741.1)". Lineage: Eukaryota; Metazoa; Chordata; Aves; Passeriformes; Passerellidae. The record is from RNAcentral.